UACCGGCGGCUCGAGUGGUGGCCGAUAUUAUUGAGUCUAAAGGGUCCGUAGCCGGCUUUGCAAGUCUCUUGGGAAAUCCAGCGGCUUAACCGUUGGGCGUCCAGGGGGUACUACAUUGCUUGGGACUGGGAGAGGUAGGAGGUACUCAAGGGGUAGGAGUGAAAUCCUGUAAUCCUUUGGGGACCACCGGUGGCGAAGGCGUCCUACCAGAACAGGUCCGACGGUGAGGGACGAAAGCUAGGGGC
Molecule: ribosomal RNA, 245 nt
Filed under: uncultured archaeon
Lineage: Archaea
Description: partial 16S ribosomal RNA
Rfam family: Archaeal small subunit ribosomal RNA
Source: RNAcentral